RNAcentral lists this ribosomal RNA (413 nucleotides) under uncultured bacterium. RNAcentral describes it as "bacterial SSU rRNA". It matches the Rfam family "Bacterial small subunit ribosomal RNA", at positions 352 to 782 of the family's 1533-position model. The record is from RNAcentral.
CAGUUGGGAAUCUUGGGCAAUGGGGGAAACCCUGAUCCAGCCAUGCCGCGUGAGUGAUGAAGGCCUUCGGGUUGUAAAACUCUUUCGACGGGGACGAUAAUGACGGUACCCGUAGAAGAAGCUCCGGCUAACUUCGUGCCAGCAGCCGCGGUAAUACGAAGGGGGCUAGCGUUGUUCGGAAUUACUGGGCGUAAAGCGCGCGCAGGCGGUUCUCCAGGUCCGUGGUGAAAGCCCGGAGCUCAACUUCGGAACUGCCAUUGAUACUGUUGAACUUGAGGGCGAGAGAGGUGAGUGGAAUUCCCAGUGUAGAGGUGAAAUUCGUAGAUAUUAGGAAGAACACCGGUGGCGAAGGCGGCUCACUGGCUCGUAUCUGACGCUCAGGCGCGAUAGCGUGGGGAUCAAACGGGAUUAGA